This 792-nucleotide small RNA is filed under the name Pongo abelii (Sumatran orangutan). RNAcentral describes it as "retained intron". Lineage: Eukaryota; Metazoa; Chordata; Mammalia; Primates; Hominidae. The record is from RNAcentral.
UAGGAAAGCUUGUGUUCCAGGGCAAUCGGCAAGGGGAGGGGGUGGGGCCUGGAUCGUAAUGGGCGGGACCUUAGAGAAUGUGCGUGGCCUCAAGUGCGGUGGGCGGGGCCUAGAGAGCAAAUGAGCUUGGUGAUCGGUGAGUCUAGUUUUUCUAUCUCUUAGCUCUACUCCGCCUUCCCCAGGUGCUGGGAGCGCAACGAAGUCAAGGCCAUUUGGUGGAUUAUACGGACCCCCAUCCUCAUAACCAUCUUGGUAGGAUCGGUCCCGCCUCCACCAGGCCGCCCUCAGGGAUUUCCCAUUCUGGGAAGUGGGGUGCCACCUCCUCCUGCCCCUUCAGAAUGGGAUUGCGGCUGGCUCAGCCCUUAUCUCUCCCCACAGAUUAAUUUCCUCAUUUUUAUCCGCAUUCUUGGCAUUCUCCUGUCCAAGCUGAGGACACGGCAAAUGCGCUGCCGGGAUUACCGGCUGAGGCUGGCUCGCUCCACGCUGACGCUGGUGCCCCUGCUGGGUGUCCACGAGGUGGUGUUUGCUCCCGUGACAGAGGAACAGGCCCGGGGCACCCUGCGCUUCGCCAAGCUCGGCUUUGAGAUCUUCCUCAGCUCCUUCCAGGUGCUCAGGCAGGGUGCAGGGGCUCUAUCCUUCCACCCAGGGCCUCCUCCCCAGAGGGGCACGAAAGCAACAGUCGUUCUCUGUUGCAGCCACUGAAUGGGGUGUGAAGAUGGGAUUUAGUUCGUUCAUUAAUUCAUUCAUUCUUUUUUUUUUUUUUUUUUUGGGGGGGGACGGAUUCUCGCCCUG